Molecule: small RNA, 617 nt
Filed under: Pongo abelii (Sumatran orangutan)
Lineage: Eukaryota; Metazoa; Chordata; Mammalia; Primates; Hominidae
Description: retained intron
Source: RNAcentral
GCGCCACUCGCCAGGUGGACCCGGAGUCCGCGAGCGUCGUCGGCAAGUGGCUGCCUUUACCCGGUACCCCGAGCACCAUGUCGUCCCCGGCGUCGACCCCGAGCCGCCGCGGCAGCCGGCGUGGAAGGGCCACCCCUGCCCAGACGCGUGAGUCCCCCGAGCCGGGCCCACUACAGCCCCCUGCGCCGCCCCGUCUGCCCUCUCUUGCCAGAGCUGGCAGCGCUGGGUGGGUGCGCGGACCCCGGGCGCUCAGCCUCGCGCUGCCGCCUGGUGCGCACAGACACCCACAGCAGGCUGUGGCCUGGGUGCUGCUUAAUUCGAUUGCCCAUUUGCCUCUGUUUGGUUUGGUUCAGUGCUCGAAGUGAGGAUGCCAGGUCAUCUCCCUCUCAGAGACGUAGAGGCGAGGAUUCCACCUCCACGGGGGAGUUGCAGCCGAUGCCAACCUCGCCUGGAGUGGACCUGCAGAGCCCUGCCGCGCAGGACAUGCUGUUUUCCAGCCCUCCCCAAAUGCAUUCUUCAGCUAUCCCUCUUGACUUCGAUGUUAGUUCACCACUGACAUAUGGCACUCCCAGCUCUCGGGUAGAGGGAACACCAAGAAGUGGUGUUAGGGGCACACC